GUGUGUGUGUGUGUGUGUGUGUGUGUAUAUAUAUAUAUAUAUAUUUAUAUAUAUAUAUAUAUAUAUAUAUAUGCGUACACACACACACUCACAG
Pelobates cultripes (western spadefoot toad) is the source of this 94-nucleotide non-coding RNA. Lineage: Eukaryota; Metazoa; Chordata; Amphibia; Anura; Pelobatidae. The record is from the annotation of a GenBank genome assembly.